This is a long non-coding RNA of Ipomoea nil (Japanese morning glory), 764 nucleotides long. RefSeq lists it as uncharacterized. The transcript is spliced from 3 exons. NCBI's taxonomy places the organism in Eukaryota, Viridiplantae, Streptophyta, Magnoliopsida, Solanales, Convolvulaceae. The record is from RefSeq and is a predicted model, not a curated record.
GACUUUUGUGUUAUUACUCAAAAUUGUCCUCCGUUAUCUAAUCCGUCAAAUGGGUGUUAAGUACAAGGUUAAAUAUGUAAUUUUAAUUUUGGUCUUCUAGGCCUUCUUAUUUCACCGCGCCAACAACAGGGUAAAAAAUAUUUUGAUUAAGAAUUUCCAACCUUGCGACUAUGUCUGCUCAAGCAAUAAUUCCCCAGAAAUUCGCCAAGUAAAUUCGCCCAAAGAAAACCCUAAGGAAGCAAAGCAAAUUUCUUCCCUACAUUGCAAUGGAUUCAAGACGACGGAAAAGGGGCGAAUGCACUCCGAAAUAUGUCUAUUCUAAAUCAACAGGGCAUGUGUUUCAGCCUACCUACACUUGAGGACCCCUUUAAUGACAGAAGUGGUAAGCCAGAUCCUGUGAAGAACAAAAAGUGAGCAGAUUCCAAGAAAGAAAAUAGGGCUGACAAGAAAAAGCUAGCUCCAAAUAAAAGGCCAACUGAUGUAUUUCAUGGACUGGUAUGAUCCUCCUAUAUGCUCGAGGUCGAAGAAAAUAAUACCGGGUCUAUUAAAGAAUAUCAAUAGAAAGGAGGAAGAAAUUAAGAGGCUAAAUGCAAGGAUUCAAGAAGCUGUCAAUGACUCCUAGUGUAAUGUGAAAUUUGUGUUGGUAGUGGUAUUAGUGUUGUGUGCUAUGAUAUAUAUUCAACUUGUAAUAGGGGUGGGGAGUUUUGGAGAAAAAGAGACUAGUUUUACUCAACUUAGAUUGAAUUAAUGUAAGUUAAUUUGCA